GUAAUCUUAGUAUAUUAUAGUAUAGUAGUUUGUCUCACUGCAGGAGGGUGUGGCCCAGGUUGCU
This 64-nucleotide transfer RNA is filed under the name Rhinebothriidae sp. DJM-2021. RNAcentral describes it as "tRNA-Asp". Lineage: Eukaryota; Metazoa; Platyhelminthes; Cestoda; Rhinebothriidea; Rhinebothriidae. The record is from RNAcentral.